Molecule: ribosomal RNA, 700 nt
Filed under: uncultured cyanobacterium
Lineage: Bacteria; Bacillati; Cyanobacteriota
Description: bacterial SSU rRNA
Rfam family: Bacterial small subunit ribosomal RNA
Source: RNAcentral
UGCAGUCGUACGAAGGCUUUUAGCCUUAGUGGCGGACGGGUGAGUAACACGUGAGAAUCUGCCCUUAGGAGGAGGAUAACAGCUGGAAACGGUUGCUAAUACUCCAUAUGCCGAGAGGUGAAAGGAUUUAUCUACCUAAGGAGGAGCUCGCGUCUGAUUAGCUAGUUGGUAGGGUAAUGGCCUACCAAGGCGACGAUCAGUAGCUGGUUUGAGAGGAUGAUCAGCCACACUGGGACUGAGACACGGCCCAGACUCCUACGGGAGGCAGCAGUAGGGAAUUUUCCGCAAUGGGCGAAAGCCUGACGGAGCAAUACCGCGUGAGGGUUGACGGCCUGUGGGUUGUAAACCUCUUUUCUCAAGGAAGAAGUUCUGACGGUACUUGAGGAAUAAGCAUCGGCUAACUCUGUGCCAGCAGCCGCGGUAAUACAGAGGAUGCAAGCGUUAUCCGGAAUCACUGGGCAUAAAGCGUCUGUAGGUGGUUUGGUAAGUCUGCUGUUAAAGACUGGGGCUCAACCCCAGAAAAGCAGUGGAAACUGCUAGACUUGAGUGUGGUAGAGGUAGAGGGAAUUCCUAGUGUAGCGGUGAAAUGCGUAGAUAUUAGGAAGAACACCAAUGGCGAAGGCACUCUACUGGACCAUAACUGACACUGAGAGACGACAGCUAGGGGAGCAAAUGGGAUUAGAUACCCCAGUAGUCCUAG